Long non-coding RNA from Cebus imitator (Panamanian white-faced capuchin), 477 nucleotides. RefSeq lists it as uncharacterized. The record is from RefSeq and is a predicted model, not a curated record. The transcript is spliced from 2 exons. Lineage: Eukaryota; Metazoa; Chordata; Mammalia; Primates; Cebidae.
UUGUAGUCCCAGCUACUCAGGAGGCUGAGGCAGGAAGAUCGCCUGAGGCCAGAAGUUGGAAGCGGGAGUGUGUUAUAAUUGGGCCUGUGAAUAGCUGCUGUACUCAAGCCUGGGCAACAUAGCCAGAACCUGUCUCUUAAAAAGAAAAAAAGAUGAAAAAUGAAAGUACCUGUGAUUGGACCCCUCCUGCAACCAAUCAGCAAUCAGACUGGUGGCAGGCCAAGUCUUCAUGUGUACCUUUGUAACUUCACCUCAGCCUCUGAUUGGUCACCUUCUGCAACCAAUCAGGCUGAUUGCAGGCCACUAUUUCGUUUACAUAGGGUGUAAACCAAGUAACCAAUGGGAAACCUCCGGAGGGUAUUUAAACCCUGGAAAAGUCUGUAACCAGCACUCUUGAGCAGCUUGCUCAGGACUGUCUCAGUAUGUGGAAUGUACUUUCAUUUCAAUAUAUCUGUAUUUUCCUUGCUUCAUUUUUUC